UGCGUAGGCGGCUUUUUAAGUCGGAUGUGAAAUCCCCGAGCUUAACUUGGGAAUUGCAUUCGAUACUGGGAAGCUAGAGUAUGGGAGAGGAUGGUAGAAUUCCAGGUGUAGCGGUGAGAUGCGUAGAGAUCUGGAGGAAUACCGAUGGCGAAGGCAGCCAUCUGGCCUAAUACUGACGCUCAUAUGCGAAAGCGUGGGGAUCAAACAGGAUUAGAUACCCGCGUA
This 225-nucleotide ribosomal RNA is filed under the name uncultured Acinetobacter sp. RNAcentral describes it as "partial 16S ribosomal RNA". It matches the Rfam family "Bacterial small subunit ribosomal RNA", at positions 568 to 792 of the family's 1533-position model. The record is from RNAcentral. Lineage: Bacteria; Pseudomonadati; Pseudomonadota; Gammaproteobacteria; Moraxellales; Moraxellaceae.